AUUGACCGAGAGACAAGUUCCAAGUUUCUCUCUUCCUGUCGUUCGGUUUUUUUUUUUUUUUUUUUCGUAAAAAUUGGAUCCUUAAUGGCGAAUCUGCUGGAGUGACACUCGACUUUACAUCGGACAUAAGACAACUUAUGUCACACCAUUUCGAGAUCUUGCCGCGUUCUGCAUCCGAAUGUCAUCUGUUAUCAGCAGCGAAAAGUACGUUCAUCGACGGAUCUCGAGGGGCAGCACUGUCUGUUCUCCGUACGAUGUAUACAAUAAAUUCAGGAGCGACCGGCAAUGAUGUAAUUACGACUAUGACACUGGAUCGUUCAUUUGGGAUUUCUUGGUU
Molecule: long non-coding RNA, 337 nt
Organism: Monomorium pharaonis (pharaoh ant)
Lineage: Eukaryota; Metazoa; Arthropoda; Insecta; Hymenoptera; Formicidae
Exons: 3
Source: RefSeq, a predicted model, not a curated record